This 859-nucleotide ribosomal RNA is filed under the name uncultured archaeon. Its description in RNAcentral is "bacterial SSU rRNA". It matches the Rfam family "Archaeal small subunit ribosomal RNA", at positions 28 to 893 of the family's 1478-position model. The record is from RNAcentral.
AGGUAUCGGAUUGAUACUAAGCCAUGCGAGUCUUUGUAGCAAUACAAGGCAGACGGCUCAGUAACACGUAGUCAAUCUACCCUAUGGACGGGGAUAACCUCGGGAAACUGAGAAUAAUACCCGAUAGAUCAUUAUGCCUGGAAUGGUUUAUGGUCGAAAUGAUUUAUCGCCGUAGGAUGGGACUGCGGUCUAUCAGCUUGUUGGUGAGGUAAUGGCCCACCAAGGCUAUAACAGAUACGGGCUCUGAGAGGAGAAGCCCGGAGAUGGGUACUGAGACACGGACCCAGGCCCUAUGGGGCGCAGCAGGCGAGAAAACUUUGCAAUGUGCGAAAGCACGACAAGGUUAAUCCGAGUGUUUUCUGCUAAAGAAAUCUUUUGUCAGUCCUAAAAACACUGAUGAAUAAGGGGUGGGCAAGUUCUGGUGUCAGCCGCCGCGGUAAAACCAGCACCUCAAGUGGUCAGGAGGAUUAUUGGGCCUAAAGCAUCCGUAGCCGGCCGUGUAAGUUUUCGGUUAAAUCUAUACGCUCAACGUAUAGGCUGCCGGGAAUACUGCACAGCUAGGGAGUGGGAGAGGUAGACGGUACUCGGUAGGAAGGGGUAAAAUCCUUUGAUCUAUUGAUGACCACCUGUGGCGAAGGCGGUCUACUAGAACACGUCCGACGGUGAGGGAUGAAAGCUGGGGGAGCAAACCGGAUUAGAUACCCGGGUAGUCCCAGCUGUAAACAAUGCAAACUCAGUGAUGCACUGGCUUGUGGCCAGUGCAGUGCCGCAGGGAAGCCGUUAAGUUUGCCGCCUGGGAAGUACGUACGCAAGUAUGAAACUUAAAGGAAUUGGCGGGGGAGCACCACAAGGGGUGAAG